RNAcentral lists this ribosomal RNA (259 nucleotides) under uncultured bacterium. RNAcentral's name for it is "partial small subunit ribosomal RNA". It matches the Rfam family "Bacterial small subunit ribosomal RNA", at positions 26 to 286 of the family's 1533-position model. The record is from RNAcentral.
AGGACGAACGCUGGCGGCGUGCUUAACACAUGCAAGUCGAACGAGGCCCUACCUUCGGGUAGGUGACCUAGUGGCGAACGGGUGAGUAACACGUGGGCAACCUACCCUCAGCUCUGGGAUAACCCCGGGAAACCGGAGCUAAAUACCGGAUAUGACCUUGAACGACAUCGUUCUUGGUGGAAAGUUUUUCGGCUGAGGAUGGGCCCGCGGCCUAUCAGCUUGUUGGCGGGUAAUGGCCCACCAAGGCGACGACGGGUAG